Molecule: ribosomal RNA, 779 nt
Filed under: Salinibacterium sp. AS-21
Lineage: Bacteria; Bacillati; Actinomycetota; Actinomycetes; Micrococcales; Microbacteriaceae
Description: bacterial SSU rRNA
Rfam family: Bacterial small subunit ribosomal RNA
Source: RNAcentral
GUCAAGGAUGGACUCGCGGCCUAUCAGGUAGUUGGUGAGGUAAUAGCUCACCAAGCCUACGACGGGUAGCCGGCCUGAGAGGGUGACCGGCCACACUGGAACUGAGACACGGUCCAGACUCCUACGGGAGGCAGCAGUGGGGAAUAUUGCACAAUGGGCGCAAGCCUGAUGCAGCAACGCCGCGUGAGGGACGACGGCCUUCGGGUUGUAAACCUCUUUUAGUAGGGAAGAAGCGAAAGUGACGGUACCUGCAGAAAAAGCACCGGCUAACUACGUGCCAGCAGCCGCGGUAAUACGUAGGGUGCAAGCGUUAUCCGGAAUUAUUGGGCGUAAAGAGCUCGUAGGCGGUUUGUCGCGUCUGCUGUGAAAACUGGGGGCUCAACCCCCAGCCUGCAGUGGGUACGGGCAGACUAGAGUGCGGUAGGGGAGAUUGGAAUUCCUGGUGUAGCGGUGGAAUGCGCAGAUAUCAGGAGGAACACCAAUGGCGAAGGCAGAUCUCUGGGCCGUUACUGACGCUGAGGAGCGAAAGCAUGGGGAGCGAACAGGAUUAGAUACCCUGGUAGUCCAUGCCGUAAACGUUGGGAACUAGAUGUAGGGGCCAUUCCACGGUUUCUGUGUCGCAGCUAACGCAUUAAGUUCCCCGCCUGGGGAGUACGGCCGCAAGGCUAAAACUCAAAGGAAUUGACGGGGGCCCGCACAAGCGGCGGAGCAUGCGGAUUAAUUCGAUGCAACGCGAAGAACCUUUCCAAGACUUGACAUAUACGAGAACGGGCUAGAAA